Molecule: long non-coding RNA, 333 nt
Filed under: Amborella trichopoda
Lineage: Eukaryota; Viridiplantae; Streptophyta; Magnoliopsida; Amborellales; Amborellaceae
Description: long non-coding RNA (ATRI_LNC000261)
Source: RNAcentral
UCACAAGGAGGGUGCAAGAGAAUAUAUCGAAGGGGCUAGAAAAUGACGAGUUUUAUAUAAUAUGAUGAGGUAUAAGAGACCAUGAGGGAAAUAGGAAAAGGUCGAGAGAGAAAAAUAGGAUGAGACAAAAUAUAGGGUGAGACCAGUGUUUAAAAAAACGCCGAGUCGAACCGGACUCGCCCGGUUCGACUCGAGAAUAGCCAUGGGGGGAUCGAAUCGGUUAAAAAAAUGGGAAUCGUCCCGUUCUAGAGAGAACCGGAUGAUUCUGCACAGUGACUCGCCGAUUCACUGUAUGGAAUCGGCGAGUCCGUGAAGAACACGGGUUGCACAGUG